GACGAACGCUGGCGGCGUGCUUAACACAUGCCAGUCGAACGGAAAGGCCCUGCUUUUGUGGGGUGCUCGAGUGGCGAACGGGUGAGUAACACGUGAGUAUCCUGCCCUUGACUUUGGGAUAACUUCAGGAAACUGGGGCUAAUACCGGAUAGGAGCUCCUGCUGCAUGGUGGGGGUUGGAAAGUUUCGGCGGUUGGGGAUGGACUCGCGGCUUAUCAGCUUGUUGGUGGGGUAGUGGCUUACCAAGGCUUUGACGGGUAGCCGGCCUGAGAGGGUGACCGGCCACAUUGGGACUGAGAUACGGCCCAGACUCCUACGGGAGGCAGCAGUGGGGAAUAUUGCACAAUGGGCGGAAGCCUGAUGCAGCAACGCCGCGUGCGGGAUGACGGCCUUCGGGUUGUAAACCGCUUUCGCCUGUGACGAAGCGUGAGUGACGGUAAUGGGUAAAAAAGCACCGGCUAACUACGUG
This 468-nucleotide ribosomal RNA is filed under the name uncultured bacterium. RNAcentral's name for it is "partial 16S ribosomal RNA". It matches the Rfam family "Bacterial small subunit ribosomal RNA", at positions 28 to 507 of the family's 1533-position model. The record is from RNAcentral.